RNAcentral lists this ribosomal RNA (326 nucleotides) under Pseudomonas aeruginosa. Its description in RNAcentral is "bacterial SSU rRNA". It matches the Rfam family "Bacterial small subunit ribosomal RNA", at positions 1003 to 1329 of the family's 1533-position model. Lineage: Bacteria; Pseudomonadati; Pseudomonadota; Gammaproteobacteria; Pseudomonadales; Pseudomonadaceae. The record is from RNAcentral.
GAGAUGGAUUGGUGCCUUCGGGAACUGUGAGACAGGUGCUGCAUGGCUGUCGUCAGCUCGUGUUGUGAAAUGUUGGGUUAAGUCCCGCAACGAGCGCAACCCUUAUCCUUUGUUGCCAGCGGUCCGGCCGGGAACUCAAAGGAGACUGCCAGUGAUAAACUGGAGGAAGGUGGGGAUGACGUCAAGUCAUCAUGGCCCUUACGACCAGGGCUACACACGUGCUACAAUGGCAUAUACAAAGAGAAGCGACCUCGCGAGAGCAAGCGGACCUCAUAAAGUAUGUCGUAGUCCGGAUUGGAGUCUGCAACUCGACUCCAUGAAGUCGG